GUUAAGCGACUAAGCGUACACGGUGGAUGCCCUGGCAGUCAGAGGCGAUGAAGGGCGUGCUAAUCUGCGAUAAGCGCCGGUAAGGUGAUAUGAACCGUUAUAACCGGCGAUACCCGAAUGGGGAAACCCAGUGUGAUUCGUCACACUAUCAUUAACUGAAUCCAUAGGUUAAUGAGGCGAACCGGGGGAACUGAAACAUCUAAGUACCCCGAGGAAAAGAAAUCAACCGAGAUUCCCCCAGUAGCGGCGAGCGAACGGGGAGGAGCCCAGAGCCUGAAUCAGCAUGUGUGUUAGUGGAAGCGUCUGGAAAGGCGCGCGAUACAGGGUGACAGCCCCGUACACAAAAGCGCAUGUGCUGUGAGCUCGAUGAGUAGGGCGGGACACGUGGUAUCCUGUCUGAAUAUGGGGGGACCAUCCUCCAAGGCUAAAUACUCCUGACUGACCGAUAGUGAACCAGUACCGUGAGGGAAAGGCGAAAAGAACCCCGGCGAGGGGAGUGAAAAAGAACCUGAAACCGUGUACGUACAAGCAGUGGGAGCCCCACCACUAAGCCAGUGGUGAACUCCACAUACGCAUCCUUUGCUGAGGAUACGGUUAACGGAGCGAAAGCGACGUUCAACCUCAAAAGAAGCAGAGGGGG
This 640-nucleotide ribosomal RNA is filed under the name Salmonella enterica subsp. enterica serovar Bareilly. Its description in RNAcentral is "partial 23S ribosomal RNA". It matches the Rfam family "Bacterial large subunit ribosomal RNA", at positions 1 to 664 of the family's 2925-position model. Lineage: Bacteria; Pseudomonadati; Pseudomonadota; Gammaproteobacteria; Enterobacterales; Enterobacteriaceae. The record is from RNAcentral.